GGAUGUUAGCGGCGGACGGGUGAGUAACACGUGGGUAACCUGCCUGUAAGACUGGGAUAACUCCGGGAAACCGGAGCUAAUACCGGAUAGUUCCUUGAACCGCAUGGUUCAAGGAUGAAAGACGGUUUCGGCUGUCACUUACAGAUGGACCCGCGGCGCAUUAGCUAGUUGGUGGGGUAAUGGCUCACCAAGGCGACGAUGCGUAGCCGACCUGAGAGGGUGAUCGGCCACACUGGGACUGAGACACGGCCCAGACUCCUACGGGAGGCAGCAGUAGGGAAUCUUCCGCAAUGGACGAAAGUCUGACGGAGCAACGCCGCGUGAGUGAUGAAGGUUUUCGGAUCGUAAAGCUCUGUUGUUAGGGAAGAACAAGUGCGAGAGUAACUGCUCGCACCUUGACGGUACCUAACCAGAAAGCCACGGCUAACUACGUGCCAGCAGCCGCGGUAAUACGUAGGUGGCAAGCGUUGUCCGGAAUUAUUGGGCGUAAAGGGCUCGCAGGCGGUUUCUUAAGUCUGAUGUGAAAGCCCCCGGCUCAACCGGGGAGGGUCAUUGGAAACUGGGAAACUUGAGUGCAGAAGAGGAGAGUGGAAUUCCACGUGUAGCGGUGAAAUGCGUAGAGAUGUGGAGGAACACCAGUGGCGAAGGCGACUCUCUGGUCUGUAACUGACGCUGAGGAG
Molecule: ribosomal RNA, 680 nt
Filed under: Bacillus safensis
Lineage: Bacteria; Bacillati; Bacillota; Bacilli; Caryophanales; Bacillaceae
Also listed under: 1 other name
Description: bacterial SSU rRNA
Rfam family: Bacterial small subunit ribosomal RNA
Source: RNAcentral